AACGAACGCUGGCGGCAUGCCUAACACAUGCAAGUCGAACGAGACCUUCGGGUCUAGUGGCGCACGGGUGCGUAACGCGUGGGAACCUGCCCUUAGGUUCGGAAUAACUCCCCGAAAGGGGUGCUAAUACCGGAUAAUGUCUUCGGACCAAAGAUUUAUCGCCUUUGGAUGGGCCCGCGUUGGAUUAGCUAGUUGGUAGGGUAAAAGCCUACCAAGGCGACGAUCCAUAGCUGGUCUGAGAGGAUGAUCAGCCACACUGGGACUGAGACACAGCCCAGACUCCUACGGGGGGCAGCAGUGGGGAAUAUUGGACAAUGGGCGAAAGCCUGAUCCAGCAAUGCCGCGUGAGUGAUGAAGGCCUUAGGGUUGUAAAGCUCUUUUAACCGGGAUGAUAAUGACAGUACCGGGAGAAUAAGCUCCGGCUAACUCCGUG
RNAcentral lists this ribosomal RNA (433 nucleotides) under uncultured bacterium. RNAcentral describes it as "partial 16S ribosomal RNA". It matches the Rfam family "Bacterial small subunit ribosomal RNA", at positions 29 to 507 of the family's 1533-position model. The record is from RNAcentral.